Molecule: non-coding RNA, 401 nt
Organism: Gasterosteus aculeatus aculeatus (three-spined stickleback)
Lineage: Eukaryota; Metazoa; Chordata; Actinopteri; Perciformes; Gasterosteidae
Source: RefSeq, a predicted model, not a curated record
AGAGAGAAGACCCAGAGGAGCAGGAGGACCAGGUGUGAAGAUGCAGUGAAACCAGAGGGAGACUCACCCGGAACGUAGACAGGAACCAGUGGACAUAUUUCCCUUCAGUACCACAAGUUAUUAUCUGAGGUCUUUACAAAGUUAAAACUGUAGUUUUUAUUUCAUUCUCUUUGCUCUUGAAUCACUGUUUUUAUUUUAAAUGUUCUUUUAUUCUUAAUUGCAUUGGUAGAGAACUUUGACUUUCAUUGUUGCUGAAAUGUGUUUUACUGUUAAACUUGCCUUAAACCAUCAGAAUUAGUGGCUUGUAGCAGAAUAUUCAUGAUGCUUUAAUUAUAGCUGUGCUGCUACAUUGUGUGUGUGAUUUAAUUGAAAUCCAAUAAAUUGGCUUUAAGAAAUACUGA